ACGCUGGCGGCGUGCCUAAUACAUGCAAGUCGAACGGUCUUUCUAUGGAAGCUUGCUUCCACUGAGAAGAUAGUGGCGAACGGGUGAGUAACACGUGGGUAACCUGCCCAUAAGAGGGGGAUAACAUCCAGAAACGGGUGCUAAUACCGCAUAGUUUUCUUGAUCGCAUGAUUGAGAAAGGAAAGACGGCCUUUGUGCUGUCGCUUAUGGAUGGACCCGCGGCGUAUUAGUUAGUUGGUGAGGUAACGGCUCACCAAGACGAUGAUACGUAGCCGACCUGAGAGGGUGAUCGGCCACAUUGGGACUGAGACACGGCCCAAACUCCUACGGGAGGCAGCAGUAGGGAAUCUUCCGCAAUGGACGAAAGUCUGACGGAGCAACGCCGCGUGAGUGAAGAAAGGUUUUCGGAUCGUAAAACUCUGUUGUCAGAGAAGAACAAGUUGGAGAGUAACUGCUCCAGCCUUGACGGUAUCUGACCAGAAAGCCACGGCUAACUACGUGCCAGCCGCUGC
RNAcentral lists this ribosomal RNA (512 nucleotides) under uncultured bacterium. RNAcentral describes it as "bacterial SSU rRNA". It matches the Rfam family "Bacterial small subunit ribosomal RNA", at positions 33 to 518 of the family's 1533-position model. The record is from RNAcentral.